GUGUCAGCAGCCGCGGUAAGACAGAGGUGCCAAGCGUUAGGCGGAAUCACUGGGCUUAAAGCGUGUGUAGGCGGACUUGUAAGUACCUUGUGAAAUCCCACGGCUCACCCGUGGAACUGCUGGGUAUACUGCGAGUCUUGAGCCACUUAGGGGCUGUCGGAACAGGCGGUGGAGCGGUGAAAUGCGUAGAUAUCGCCUGGAACGCCAAAGGUGAAAACAGACAGCUGGGAGUGUGCUGACGCUGAGACACGAAAGCCAGGGGAGCGAACGGGAUUAGAUACCCUGGUAGUCC
Molecule: ribosomal RNA, 292 nt
Filed under: uncultured bacterium
Lineage: Bacteria
Description: partial 16S ribosomal RNA
Rfam family: Bacterial small subunit ribosomal RNA
Source: RNAcentral